Pomacea canaliculata is the source of this 646-nucleotide long non-coding RNA. RefSeq lists it as uncharacterized. The record is from RefSeq and is a predicted model, not a curated record. Lineage: Eukaryota; Metazoa; Mollusca; Gastropoda; Architaenioglossa; Ampullariidae. The transcript is spliced from 4 exons.
UGUCGCGUCCAACCAGCGUCACGCGGGGUCGCGCUUUGUGGAAACGAACUGCAAGGCUUUGGUUUGAGGUCCGUGAUCACAACGACCCACAGAAACUUGAUUUCGACUUCACACUGCUUCUGUGGCGCGUCCUGGUGGCAGAUGAAUCUAGUCAGAUGGGUUAGGUCAGGGUGGACCAUAGCAGCUCACCACACAUCAUCGAGCGAUCUUACUACAAAGUCUGACUUUCCAGAACUUACCUGUAACUUCCAGAACCAUGAAGUCCUUUUGCUGCCUGCUUCUUCUGCUGAUGACGACUGUGGUCCUUGCAGACAGCAAAGAUGUCUUGAGCAGAUCGUCUAGAGAUGUAACCGAAUGCCAACAACAGGGUGGUCAUUGCUUUCUCUGGGUGUCAACUCUCCACUGCCCAGGACACAUUGCCAGAGAACUGUCCUGUGGCUCAGACCAACAAUACUGUUGUGUGUUCUCCAUAUAACAUGACCUCCUACUUAUGAAAUAAGACACACGAGUGCGGCAAGGACCACUCGUCUUCUCAAAGAUGUCUUGAGGCUACUUUUGAACAGCACAACACGGCAACCUUUCCUGCAUCAGAGAAGGACAUCAUUGAAUACAAACUGGAACCUUUGAAUAAAGAUCUUGAUUAUAA